RNAcentral lists this transfer RNA (72 nucleotides) under Marmota monax (woodchuck). It matches the Rfam family "tRNA". From Rfam's summary of the family: Transfer RNA (tRNA) molecules are approximately 80 nucleotides in length. Lineage: Eukaryota; Metazoa; Chordata; Mammalia; Rodentia; Sciuridae. The record is from Rfam by way of RNAcentral.
GGGGAUGUAGCUCAGUGGUAGAGCACCUCCUUAGCCUAUGCAGGGCCCUGGGUUUGAUCCCCAACACCACCA